Gasterosteus aculeatus aculeatus (three-spined stickleback) is the source of this 2268-nucleotide long non-coding RNA. The record is from Ensembl. NCBI's taxonomy places the organism in Eukaryota, Metazoa, Chordata, Actinopteri, Perciformes, Gasterosteidae.
GGGAGUCCGAGUCCUCUUCUGGGUGGGGCUCUGGCACCAGCAUCUCCUCGGGUGGGACGGUCACCAGCAGGUACGGGGUGGGGCAGAUGAAGGAGUUCCUGCUGACCACCAACGAUAGGAGUGAGGGUGGAGGACAGCUUCUCCGACGUGGAGAAGUUCGCUCGCUCCGCUCGGCACGGCAGCACCAAGAAAGGAGCUGGAAGUUUCACCCAGCAGGAGGUCUCCAGACUGAGGAGCUACUCGUAAAGAUCCAAAAGGAAGGAGGAAGCACCACUGGGACCGAGUAGCUCGGUAUCCUGCGAGGAGCUACCGGGUGGAACUCCUUAGUGAGCGGGGCUGGAAGCCAUCAGAUGUUUGGUGCCAUGGUGGAUAAAAAGCUGGGGGAAGAGCUUGGAUUUGAAAGCAGCUUGGAUUUGAUGGCACGCACCUUGCAGUGUGUGUUUAGGUGUCUGUGUUUGCCAAUGUGCUGGUAGUUAUUCAUGGUGGCAUUCUUCUACUGUUGGACAGUACGAUUUUUGUUGUUUAAUGUUUUGGUUUUGGGAAAUUCUGUCUUAAUGUAAAGCUAAACGCCUCAUUAAAGCAAAUGUAUGAAUGUAUGAAUUUGGUCAUUCAGGUCGGUGUGACCUGAUAUCUGUUGGUACUUUGUCCUAAACAGCGGUGUGUAGGUUUAAAUUGCAAUUUGAUCGGUUUUGGAAACUGCUUGAAUUUAUCUGGUUGUGUUAUCUUUUUCCCUCGUUCUGUCUGUCUCAUUCAUUAUUAAUCAUCCAACAGUGUCCUGCUCUACUCCCUGUUCAUUAAUUAUGGCUUCGCAGUAGAAAACUAGAAAUCUGGGCCUCAGCCCCCGACAUCGUUGUCUGUGAACAACCUGAUGCACUCAGAAUGAAAUUAACAAGAAAGGGAUAGAAAAGAUCACUCAUACUGUGUAGCAGUAUUUGGAAACAUUAUUGCAGUACCUGACAGCAAACACCACACACGUGAGGUGAGCACAGUGGUAUGUUACUGCCACUACAUAAAAAGUGUAUUUUCCCAUUGUGAUGAAUAAGUUAUUUGAAAUACCACACACAUUACAUUUAUAUCGGACUGAACGGCACCAAACUGCCCCAGGGAGAGGCGCCGAGAUCGGGGCUAAACUAACCUAGGAUUUAAGGCCGCUCCACUUCCUUCCUGGAUAUCGGAGUUCCAGUCACAUAAAAAUAAGAUGGAUGAAAUCAAGUCGGUGACAGCACACAUCUUCCAGAGAUGGAUCAUUUUAUAAUGCCAUCAGUUUGUUGCAUGAGGAAGAUAAAUGAUCCCGGAAUCCGUUGCAAACCUUGUAAAUACAUACACUGAUAAAAUAGAAUGAAAUCGUCUUAUUAAAUACUUUGUUCUUUACAUAGUUGAAUGUGUUGACAACAAAAUUGGAUUCAGGUCUGGGGAACCGGUGGGCCAGUCCAUAGCAUCAAUGCCUUCGUCUUGCAGGAACUGCCGACACACUCCAGCCACAUGAGGUCUAGCAUUGUCUUGCAUUAGGUGGAACCCAGGGCCAGCAUAUGGUCUCACAAGGGGUUUUAGGAUCUUAUCUCGGUACCUAAUGGCAUAGAGGCUACCUCUGGCGAGCACAUCAAGGGCUGUGCCAUGUCAUGAAAUUGAUUGUCAGUGUUGCUUCCUAAGUGGGCAGUUUGAUUUCACAGAAGUGUGAUUGACUUGGAGUUACAUUGUGUUGUUUAAGUGUUCCCUUUAUUUUUUGAGCAGUGCACGUUUUGAAUAAAAAGUACCAUAAAGUCAAUUAAAGAUGGCAUCAGCCAAUUCAAAAAGUUCUUUCCAUGUGAGGCUUUUGCCUUGGAAUGACAUGCGGUGUCCUCACUCCUUCCCUGCAGGGUUCACACACCAAACCCGGACAAUUCCUGAAGGUAACCCCGCCAUUCGGCGGUUACUGUAAUUGCAUUACUGAAAAGUAAAAAGUCAUCACUGCAAGGUCACUAGGAGCAUCCUGAUGUGUUGUCUUCCUACCAGCUCUAUCACAAAGUGCCCCCAGCAAGAGCAGCCUAAAGCCGUAGGGUUGUGGCAUAAAUCAUUUUGUGUCUUCUUAUAAUCUUUAAGUGUGAUAACAAUUCUUAAUAUGAUUUAUUAUUUCAAUGUAGCACUUCUUACAAGCAAUGAUACAUUGAAUAUACGAAUAAAACUUGUUUCAGUCAACGCCUUAAUAUUUAGCCUGCCGUUGCCUAAAAACUCAAAUGACCUCACCUCUUAAUGUUUAAUUUCUUCCUCUCUUACUCACGCGGAAUAAAU